UGCCUGGCGGCACUAGGGCGGUGGUCCCACCUGACCCCAUGCCGAACUCAGAAGUGAAACGCCGUAGCGCCGAUGGUAGUGUGGGGUCUCCCCAUGUGAGAGUAGGGAACUGCCAGGCAU
Molecule: ribosomal RNA, 120 nt
Filed under: Klebsiella pneumoniae subsp. pneumoniae ST512-K30BO
Lineage: Bacteria; Pseudomonadati; Pseudomonadota; Gammaproteobacteria; Enterobacterales; Enterobacteriaceae
Source: RNAcentral